Molecule: ribosomal RNA, 253 nt
Filed under: uncultured bacterium
Lineage: Bacteria
Description: partial 16S ribosomal RNA
Rfam family: Bacterial small subunit ribosomal RNA
Source: RNAcentral
UACGUAGGGCGCAAGCGUUGUCCGGAAUUAUUGGGCGUAAAGAGCUCGUAGGCGGCUUGUCACGUCGAUUGUGAAAGCUCGGGGCUUAACCCCGAGUCUGCAGUCGAUACGGGCUAGCUAGAGUGUGGUAGGGGAGAUCGGAAUUCCUGGUGUAGCGGUGAAAUACGCAGAUAUCAGGAGGAACACCGGUGGCGAAGGCGGAUCUCUGGGCCAUUACUGACGCUGAGGAGCGAAAGCGUGGGGAGCGAACAGG